RNAcentral lists this long non-coding RNA (244 nucleotides) under Elaeis guineensis (African oil palm). RNAcentral describes it as "long non-coding RNA (EGUI_LNC044479)". Lineage: Eukaryota; Viridiplantae; Streptophyta; Magnoliopsida; Arecales; Arecaceae. The record is from RNAcentral.
AUCCAGUCUCUAAGAUAUCCAUAGGAUAGAUCUAGAAAUUUUUUUUUAUUUUUUCAUCAAGAAAUCAACAAGCAAUCUUCAAAGGAGAAAAAAGAAGAUGAGAGAACUCCUUCUCUCAAAUCAGCACUUCGCACCUUAUGUGUAGAAGGAAGAAGGCACCCAACCCUUGGGCGUGCUGAUCAAGGAUGCCCAACUCUUGCACAUGAUGAAAAGAGGAGAGGGAGAGGGCAUGGAGAGCUCAAGA